Molecule: ribosomal RNA, 460 nt
Filed under: uncultured bacterium
Lineage: Bacteria
Description: partial 16S ribosomal RNA
Rfam family: Bacterial small subunit ribosomal RNA
Source: RNAcentral
CCUACGGGGGGCAGCAGUGAGGAAUAUUGGUCAAUGGGCGCUAGCCUGAACCAGCCAAGUCGCGUGAAUGAUGAAUGCCCUAUGGGUUGUAAAUUUCUUCUAUAUGGGAAUAAAGUGCAGUAUGUAUACUGCUUUGAAUGUACCUUAUGAAUAAGGAUCGGAUAACUCCGUGCCAGCCGCCGCGGUAAUACGGAGGAUCCGAGCGUUAUCCGGAUUUAUUGGGCUUAAAGGGAGCGUAGGCGGGUUGUUAAGUCAGUUGUGAAAGUUUGGGGCUCAACCGUAAAAUUGCAGUUGAUACUGGCAUCCUUGAGUACAGUAGAGGGAGGCAGAAUUCGAGGUGUAGCGGUGAAAUGCGUAGAGAUGACGAAGAACUCCGAUUGCGAAGGCAGCCUGCUGGACUGUAACUGACGCUGAGGCGCGAAAGUGUGGGGAGCAAACAGGAUUAGAUACCCUUGUAGUC